Molecule: ribosomal RNA, 365 nt
Filed under: uncultured bacterium
Lineage: Bacteria
Description: bacterial SSU rRNA
Rfam family: Bacterial small subunit ribosomal RNA
Source: RNAcentral
GACAAACGCUGGCGGCGUGCAUAACACAUGCAAGUCGAACGGUCUCAUUAAGGUGAGAUAGUGGCGGACGGGUGAGUAACACGUAGAUAACCUGCCCAAUAGUGGGGAAUAACUCCUCGAAAGAGGAGCUAAUACCGCAUAAGCUCUCUCUUGUGAGAGGGAGAGGAAAGCUCUUUAUUUCGCAAGAAAUAGGGGGCGGCUGAAGGAGGGGUCGUGCGGCGGAUUAGCUAGAGGUGGGGUAAAGGCUUACCUAGGCGACGAUCCGUAGCUGGUCUGAGAGGACGACCAGCCACACUGGGACUGAGAUACGGCCCAGACUCCUACGGGAGGCAGCAGUGAGGAAUAUUCCACAAUGGCCGAAAGGC